AAAGCCGAAUGCUUUAGUUUCCGGACUUGGUACCACAAUCCCAAAGAUUGUUUUAAAUGGAUUGUAUAUGUACCUAAGUAGUCUAAUCCUCACAAUCUUCCUAUUGAUAAUGUAUCAUUGGAAGAACAUGUUAGAUAAGUCUAUCAUAAAGAGGACAACACUUUUAACGUCAUAGUUCUUCACUUACAAAUCGUUGUAUGAAGAAAUAAGAGUUGCUUUGAACAACCCUUA
Molecule: long non-coding RNA, 231 nt
Filed under: Malus domestica (apple)
Lineage: Eukaryota; Viridiplantae; Streptophyta; Magnoliopsida; Rosales; Rosaceae
Description: long non-coding RNA (MDOM_LNC016780)
Source: RNAcentral